Molecule: ribosomal RNA, 467 nt
Filed under: uncultured bacterium
Lineage: Bacteria
Description: partial 16S ribosomal RNA
Rfam family: Bacterial small subunit ribosomal RNA
Source: RNAcentral
GACGAACGCUGGCGGCGUGCUUAACACAUGCAAGUCGAACGGAAAGGCCUCUUUCGGGGGGUACUCGAGUGGCGAACGGGUGAGUAACACGUGAGUAACCUGCCCUUGACUUUGGGAUAACUUCGGGAAACUGGGGCUAAUACCGGAUAGGAGCUCCUGCUGCAUGGUGGGGGUUGGAAAGUUUCGGCGGUUGGGGAUGGACUCGCGGCUUAUCAGCUUGUUGGUGGGGUAGUGGCUUACCAAGGCUUUGACGGGUAGCCGGCCUGAGAGGGUGACCGGCCACAUUGGGACUGAGAUACGGCCCAGACUCCGACGGGAGGCAGCAGGGGGGAAGAUUGCACAAGGGGUGGAAGCCUGAUGCAGCAACGCCGUGGGCGGGAGGACGGCCUUCGGGUUGUAAACCGCUUUCGCUCAUGACGAAGCUUUGUGUGACGGUAGUGGGUAAAGAAGCACCGGCUAACUACGUG